Molecule: unclassified non-coding RNA, 655 nt
Filed under: Zelkova schneideriana
Lineage: Eukaryota; Viridiplantae; Streptophyta; Magnoliopsida; Rosales; Ulmaceae
Description: partial contains internal transcribed spacer 1, 5.8S ribosomal RNA, internal transcribed spacer 2, and large subunit ribosomal RNA
Rfam family: 5.8S ribosomal RNA (bases 241-396)
Source: RNAcentral
UAGGUGACCUGCGGAAGGAUCAUUGUCGAAACCUGCCCAGCAGAACGACCCGCGAACACGUUGUUAAACCGGGGGGGCGAGGGACCCUCGGGCCCCGACCCUCCCCCCGGCGCCGGCCGCGCGUCGGCGCCAAACGAACCCCGGCGCUAUCUGCGCCAAGGAAACCAAAACGAACGAUCGCGCGACGGUAGGCCCAGAAACGGUGCCGCCGGAGCCGAGUCGUCUUCGAUAUGUCAAAACGACUCUCGGCAACGGAUAUCUCGGCUCUCGCAUCGAUGAAGAACGUAGCGAAAUGCGAUACUUGGUGUGAAUUGCAGAAUCCCGUGAACCAUCGAGUCUUUGAACGCAAGUUGCGCCCGAAGCCAUCCGGCCGAGGGCACGUCUGCCUGGGCGUCACACACCGUUGCCCCCCCAAACCCCUUCGGGGCAGGAGGGGGGGCGGAUGCUGGCCUCCCGUGAGCCUCGCCUCGCGGCCGGCCCAAAUGCGAGAUCCCUGCCGCGGGCGUCGCGGCGAUGGUGGUUGUCGAAUAACUCGGUGCCCCGUCGCGAGCGCCCCCGGCGUGCCGUCUCGGAACGACCCCUGCGCGCGGCCCAGCGCCGCGCNUCCAACGCGACCCCAGGUCAGGCGGGGCUACCCGCUGAAUUUAAGCAUAUC